Molecule: RNA transcript, 1815 nt
Organism: Syngnathoides biaculeatus (alligator pipefish)
Lineage: Eukaryota; Metazoa; Chordata; Actinopteri; Syngnathiformes; Syngnathidae
Gene: ca10a
Gene name: carbonic anhydrase Xa
Exons: 13
Source: RefSeq, a predicted model, not a curated record
AGGAAAGAAGAACCCUCAUCGGAGGCAAAUAUGAUCAAGAAAGUUCGUAGACCUCUCCAGGUAAACUAAUCCCCACAUUCGCAAAGGUUUUUGUCCCACGGCGCUGGCUGACUGAAUUGGGUGUCUCGUCGACAUACAGCCAUGUUCAAUGUACGUUCCAGCCUUGGAGGACAGAACGUCUGAGACCUGUGUAAUGAACGUGGCAUGAAGAAAAAAGAUGGACACAUUUGGGCGAUUACUAAUCAUUUUCCCGGCCAGUUUUAUUGCCAGCAUAUCAGCCCAGCAAAAUCCACUCAAAAUUCAUGAAGGCUGGUGGGCAUACAAGCAAGUGGUACAGGGAAGCUUUGUUCCAGUGCCAUCUUUCUGGGGUUUGGUAAACUCAGCUUGGAACUUGUGCUCAGUGGGGAAGAGACAAUCACCAGUCAACAUUGAGACCAGCCACAUGAUCUUUGACCCUUAUCUUACGUCAAUGAAACUGAACACAGGUGGACAAAAGAUGAGGGGGACAAUGUAUAACACAGGUCGCCAUGUUUCUGUGCGAUUGGACAAGGAGCAUCUGGUUAAUAUCUCUGGUGGGCCCAUGAUGUACAGCCAUCGUCUGGAGGAGAUUCGGCUUCACUUUGGUAGCGAAGACAAUCAGGGUUCUGAACAUCUGCUGAAUGGACAGGCUUUCUCUGGAGAGAUUGGGGAGCACCUACUGGGAGCUAAUUUAGAUCCUGAAGAUUGGAAACUUUGCCACUGCAUUAAGGUUCAGCUGAUUCACUAUAAUCAUGAGUUGUAUAUGAAUUAUACUGAAGCUGCCAAAAGCCCUAAUGGACUCGUCAUCGUGUCCAUAUUCAUGAAAGUGGCUGAAACAUCUAACAGCUUCCUGAAUCGAUUGCUAAACAGAGAGAGCAUCACAAGAGUAACAUAUAAAAAUGAUGCUUAUCUUCUGACAGGACUAAGUAUAGAGGAGAUCUAUCCAGACACAAGUAGUUUUAUCACUUAUGAUGGCUCAAUGACCAUCCCUCCAUGUUUUGAGACUGCUACGUGGAUACUGAUGAACAAGCCAGUGUACGUCACACGCAUGCAGAUGCACUCUUUGCGCCUACUCAGCCAAAACCAGCCAUCUCAAAUCUUCCUGAGCAUGAGUGAUAAUGUGCGUCCGAUUCAGCCACUGAUCAACCGCUGCAUCCGGACCAAUAUCAACUUCAGCAUGCAGGGGAAAGAUUGCCCAAACAACAGAAAUCAUAAGCUUCAGUACAGAGUUACAGGUCAUGCAUUGAGAAGUGGGGAUCAACCAGGCUGGCAUCUUGAUAAUUGGCAACCCAAAAUCACUCUUCUUUCCGGCAAACCCUUGACCCGAGGGCACUGCUGCAGAGCUGGAGUCAGAUCAUCCAGUUGACUUCCGAGAGCUGCUCCUGGCUGAUGAGGUGCUGCAACAUAUGGCUACGGCAAGGAACUGCAAUCAAACACUUUGUGAAUGGGUGGUUGCUCAAUUAGGAUCGUUCUGAGGAGAAAAAUGUUGUUGCUGAAGGACAACGCUGACAGUUGUGAAACCAGUCAUCUCAUUCAACAUGUUUUAAAAGAAUUUUCUCUCAACAAAUAUACAUGUAUGUAUUGUUUGUAACUAAAAUGAAACUUUGUAAAGCAUGCAGAGUGGCUCUGCUUUUUACAUUAAAAACAUUCUAUGUAUGACUUGUAUUUUGCGUACAUGUAGUAAACCUACAUCUGGCAAAAAAUGUUGAUACUUUUUUUAAUUCAGAAAGUGACAAACUAAAGAAACAGAUGACACAAACCACUUGUUUGAUAACUUUCUGAUUAUAGAACUUGGGU